AACAGCAACAGAAAUGGCAACAGCAACAGCAGCAACAAUAGGUUGUUGCGAAGGCGAAUAAAAUAAAUAAUCCUUCGUUUUUUGUUUGUUUUUGUUUUUUGUUUUUUGUU
RNAcentral lists this non-coding RNA (110 nucleotides) under Partenskyella glossopodia. The record is from RNAcentral. Lineage: Eukaryota; Cercozoa; Chlorarachniophyceae.